Molecule: ribosomal RNA, 233 nt
Filed under: uncultured bacterium
Lineage: Bacteria
Description: partial 16S ribosomal RNA
Source: RNAcentral
UAAUCCGACCUAGGCUCAUCUCAGAGUGUGAGGCCUUACGGUCCCCCACUUUGGUCUCUCGACAUCAUGCGGUAUUAAUCAGGGUUUCCCCUGGCUAUCCCCCGCUCUGAGGCAGAUUCCUAUGUAUUGCUCACCCGUCCGCCGCUCGCCGGCACCCUUACGGGCCCGCUGCCGCUCGACUUGCAUGUGUUAGGCCUGCCGCCAGCGUUCAAUCUGAGCCAGGAUCAAACUCU